RNAcentral lists this ribosomal RNA (454 nucleotides) under Pseudomonas aeruginosa. RNAcentral's name for it is "partial 23S ribosomal RNA". It matches the Rfam family "Bacterial large subunit ribosomal RNA", at positions 2367 to 2820 of the family's 2925-position model. Lineage: Bacteria; Pseudomonadati; Pseudomonadota; Gammaproteobacteria; Pseudomonadales; Pseudomonadaceae. The record is from RNAcentral.
GCUUGACUGCGAGACAGACACGUCGAGCAGGUACGAAAGUAGGUCUUAGUGAUCCGGUGGUUCUGUAUGGAAGGGCCAUCGCUCAACGGAUAAAAGGUACUCCGGGGAUAACAGGCUGAUACCGCCCAAGAGUUCAUAUCGACGGCGGUGUUUGGCACCUCGAUGUCGGCUCAUCACAUCCUGGGGCUGAAGCCGGUCCCAAGGGUAUGGCUGUUCGCCAUUUAAAGUGGUACGCGAGCUGGGUUUAGAACGUCGUGAGACAGUUCGGUCCCUAUCUGCCGUGGACGUUUGAGAUUUGAGAGGGGCUGCUCCUAGUACGAGAGGACCGGAGUGGACGAACCUCUGGUGUUCCGGUUGUCACGCCAGUGGCAUUGCCGGGUAGCUAUGUUCGGAAAAGAUAACCGCUGAAAGCAUCUAAGCGGGAAACUUGCCUCAAGAUGAGAUCUCACUGGGA